Molecule: unclassified non-coding RNA, 971 nt
Filed under: Hevea brasiliensis (rubber tree)
Lineage: Eukaryota; Viridiplantae; Streptophyta; Magnoliopsida; Malpighiales; Euphorbiaceae
Source: RNAcentral
UAUUAUUAUUAUUAUUUUAAAUUUAUUGUGCUUUUUAAACAGUUUAGUUGAACAAGUAGUUAUCAUUUGAAGCACAUUGAUUGUAAUCUUUGUUUUCAAAUUUGAAUUGAGCAAGCUGUUUGAAUUGGGUUUCCUAUGAACUGCUUCCACCAUUUGAUCCUGGUUAAAACUGAUACAGAUACAGAAAUCAAUCAAAAGAAUAGUUGGCUGUUGACUAAUGGUCUAACUGGUUAUCUAAUAUUUCAGACCUAUAGGCAAGGUUUUUGCACUCAUCCUGGUCUUCAAACUUCUAAAAGGGAGGGGGCUAUGAGUUAGAGGUUCAACUGGGAUAGAACUGGGUUGACUGAAAUUGAAAAAGCUAAAUAAUAAAUGUAGUAUAAAGUUUAUUUUAGCUAGUGUAAUUUAUUAAAAGCAUAAGUAAAUCAAAAUAUGAUAAAAUUAGUCAACUUAAUAAGUUAUUGGGAGAAAGGGAAGUUUUUAACAUAAUAAAGUGCUCGAGUAAUUUGAAAUUUUAAUGUAAUAAUUUUGCAUAGAAUUGAUAAUUUAUCGAUACCUAUUAUGUUAACAAUUAAAUAUUGCAUUUCAUCAUUACCAUAUUUUUAUUAACAUCAAAUACUUCUAAAGUCUAUAUGAGAAAAAUCCAUUCUAUAUUGGAAAAAAAAGUUAUCCACAAUAUUGCAAAAGAAAUUUAUAUCUAAACUGAAAAAGAAAAUUUCAACCAUAACAUCUAAUAAAGUGUUUGGUAUCAAUGCCAAAAUUAAAGUCAUCCAUCAAUAAGCAUCUUACUUCAUAUUGAAAUGUUUAAUCUUUUCCUUAAUUUUGAUGGAGUUUUUCUCUUAAAAAUUUGUGUUCACACUCAACACAAUUUUGUUUUCGGCAAAAAACCUCAUGAAAUAUCUAGCAUAUGUCCAACGUGUAUAAAGUUGUAUUGGAUUGUGUGUCUAUUUCUUCCCCCCCCCCCCCUCCUUUUG